RNAcentral lists this ribosomal RNA (485 nucleotides) under uncultured bacterium. RNAcentral describes it as "partial 16S ribosomal RNA". It matches the Rfam family "Bacterial small subunit ribosomal RNA", at positions 30 to 507 of the family's 1533-position model. The record is from RNAcentral.
UUGAACGCUGGCGGCAUGCCUUACACCUGCCAGUCGAACGGCAGCACGGGUGCUUGCACCAGGUGGCGAGUGGCGAACGGGUGAGUAAUACAUCGGAACAUGUCCUGUAGUGGGGGAUAGCCCGGCGAAAGCCGGAUUAAUACCGCAUACGAUCUACGGAUGAAAGCGGGGGACCUUCGGGCCUCGCGCUAUAGGGUUGGCCGAUGGCUGAUUAGCUAGUUGGUGGGGUAAAGGCCUACCAAGGCGACGAUCAGUAGCUGGUCUGAGAGGACGACCAGCCACACUGGGACUGAGACACGGCCCAGACUCCUACGGGAGGCAGCAGUGGGGAAUUUUGGACAAUGGGCGAAAGCCUGAUCCAGCAAUGCCGCGUGUGUGAAGAAGGCCUUCGGGUUGUAAAGCACUUUUGUCCGGAAAGAAAUCCUUGGCCCUAAUACGGUCGGGGGAUGACGGUACCGGAAGAAUAAGCACCGGCUAACUACGUG